RNAcentral lists this ribosomal RNA (452 nucleotides) under uncultured bacterium. RNAcentral's name for it is "bacterial SSU rRNA". It matches the Rfam family "Bacterial small subunit ribosomal RNA", at positions 340 to 786 of the family's 1533-position model. The record is from RNAcentral.
UACGGGAGGCAGCAGGGGGAAUAUUGCACAAUGGGCGCAAGCCUGAUGCAGCCAUGCCGCGUGUAUGAAGAAGGCCUUCGGGUUGUAAAGUACUUUCAGUCGUGAGGAAGGUGUUAAGGUUAAUAACCUUAGCAAUUGACGUUAGCGACAGAAGAAGCACCGACUAACUCCGUGCCAGCAGCCGCGGUAAUACGGAGGGUGCGAGCGUUAAUCGGAAUUACUGGGCGUAAAGGGCACGCAGGCGGUUAAUUAAGUUGGAUGUGAAAUCCCCGGGCUUAACCUGGGAAUGGCAUUCAAGACUGGUUAGCUAGAGUCUUGUAGAGGGGGUAGAAUUCCAUGUGUAGCGGUGAAAUGCGUAGAGAUGUGGAGGAAUACCGGUGGCGAAGGCGGCCCCUGGACAAAGACUGACGCUCAUGUGCGAAAGCGUGGGGAGCAAACAGGGAUUAGAUACC